AGCAUUUUGAUAUAUAUUUGACCAUCAUGCGAUGCUUAGAAGUUGCCAAAUUUAACCUCUGAAGUUGGUUAUCGCGUGCGAACUUUUCCGUCGCCAUAUUGAUGCCGUGUGACGUCAUAAGAUGAACGGAAACGAAGAUAUGAAGGUCGUAUUUGUAGUAAAUUAUAUGGCGCGUCAACAUAUUGCAGUGGAAUUCUUGUCUAUUUCACUUGUUUAUGGCGCAGAUAACUGAUUUUUAAAAAUCGAAGAACAAGUGCUAUAUCUUAUUGUUUAUUUGACGGCGGAAUGAUGGUUAGAGAUUCAGAUAAUAGGGUCAGUACUGCAUCUGGAAGUCAACGAGUAUGGACUAAGUCGGCUUUGAAAUACGAUGAUGAACCAGUUGGCUAAACAGCUUUUAUACAGCUUCACUAGACGAAGUGAUAGAGAAAUUAUAUAACGCCGCUGCAGAUAGGCAACUACCAUCUGUGACUGUGUUGGAGCAAUCAAGCGAUGGUACAAUACCUGUAAAAUUAGUGGUAAGUAGAUCCUUUUUAUUGCAUGUAUGUAUAUAUAAACGGUAUUGUGCCUCGGUAUGUAUAUGCCUCGGUAUUGCGUCUGAACACAUCUGGUGUGUGUAACUUAAUAUUUAGUAUGAACUGGAUUGUGUGUGACAAAAAUAUAUAAAACGUUUAUAAACACAAGCAUAUUCAUAGCUAAUAAUUCGCAAUACUCAAAAUGAUUUUGAUUUUGUUUUCAAUAGAUAGCGAUAUGUGUAAUUGGCAAUUACGGGCUGUGGUUCUAUUGAUGGCUAUAGUUUUACUUGGAUGGGAAACAGAAGAAAAUAAUUUCCAACAACAGAGACACAGCUGCCUUACGUUUGAACAGAAAAGCGGUCGACUUUAGUUGGAUUAGGCAGAUUGUGACUGAGUCAGUUAACCAUUGAGUCAAAAUUGUGCCACUGUGCAAUAUCACAUUUACUGUAAUAUUUUGAAAUUAUAUUAAUCUUCAAAGUCACAAAUAUAUUUCUCACAUAAAUAGCGUACCAG
Non-coding RNA from Paramuricea clavata, 1025 nucleotides. The record is from the annotation of a GenBank genome assembly. NCBI's taxonomy places the organism in Eukaryota, Metazoa, Cnidaria, Anthozoa, Malacalcyonacea, Plexauridae.